GUAAACCUUUAACAUCUCGUCGACGGUCGUGUUAAGGUUGCCUCCUCCUCCUCCAUCGAUAGAAGAUGAGGUGGUACGCCGUGUCGAUUUUUCUCCUGUUGACUCUUUGUUCAGCCGAAAAUAACGAACAGGACACAGAAAUUGCCAGUUUCAGAUUAGGUACCGCCGUGUUGACUGCCUUGGGUGCCAUCUUCUUUCCCAUGAUCAUGACCUUAGGUUUGGGUAGAUUCGUCGGAGAACUUCCCAAUCAGAUAUGUAAAAUGAUGACCAACAUCGGACUCGUUCAGCCCUCGGGAUGUGGAAAAUUUCAUUUCCUGAUGAAUAAUUUCUUGAGAACGUUUCACAUGGCUAUGGAGAGGUUUGAUAAUUUAUAGAUCAGGAAACUCUACGUGGAUGCCCUUUCCGAGUCGAUUACAAUACAACGAAUUCACCUCCCGAAUAUUCUGUAAAUAAAAUA
This is a long non-coding RNA of Centruroides sculpturatus (bark scorpion), 457 nucleotides long. RefSeq lists it as uncharacterized. The transcript is spliced from 2 exons. The record is from RefSeq and is a predicted model, not a curated record. NCBI's taxonomy places the organism in Eukaryota, Metazoa, Arthropoda, Arachnida, Scorpiones, Buthidae.